Molecule: long non-coding RNA, 3142 nt
Organism: Equus asinus (donkey)
Lineage: Eukaryota; Metazoa; Chordata; Mammalia; Perissodactyla; Equidae
Source: Ensembl
UUCUCUGGGCUCCUUGGGACAGGAGAUUAGUUGAAGGGUUCUGCACACACUCUCCCCUGCUCCUAGAUCAGGUUUCUUACUUUGCUAUACAUCGAGAUUCCACAAAAACGUUCAAAAGCCACUGGCUUGAAUUACAACAUCUCAUGUUGGCUCACCUACAGGUAGAUUAACGGGAGGAAGGGCUCUUGAUAAUCAGUUAGCUACCUUUAACAAAUCCUUCUAGAGAAACUAAUAGCUUCUCCCAGAGGCACGGGUUUUAGUUCACCUGGUUCCAACUUCUAUUAUUGAAUUUCUUCACCUUUGCCCAUUUUCCCACUACCCCCUUUUCAUUGCUUAGUACUUGUCUGAGUGGCUUAUUACAAUUAAGAUAAAGUAGUUGUCUUCAACUAAGGACAGUUUGAUAGAUUUGGUGCUAAGAAAUGAGACAUGAUACAACCAGUUUCCUAGGAAAGCAGCCACUGGACGCUAGUGUUGAGCAACUCAGUCAACACUGGAUACUAAGCAAAAACCAAAAGAAUGAGUUGAUCUCGAAGCGGCCUUGGCACAACUGAGGAAUUUCAAUUAAUGCCACCCUAAGGGCUAGUCAGGGUUUUGGCUACUAUGAGCUGAAUCUCAGACAAGUUCCAAGAGAAAACAUAAGCCGAGGUUUGGGCUAAACUGAGCCCAGUGGCCAGAAAGCAGGCAGAGUGCACAGUAGGCCAAAGCUCAGAGAGGCAUCCACACAGACGAAACGGCCUAAGGCACAGCCAGGUUCCCAUUUGCGGAGGGGAGUCUUCCGCUAUUUCAUGUCAUGUUCUAAACAUAAGUUGACAUUUGAGCAGCUUGAUACUACUCAAAUUCCUUCUCCCCACUCUCAUGGUUUUAGCUAUAAACUUGUCUCCUCCUAACCCAUCAUACGUUUGAUAUCUAGAGCCAUGUGGCUCUCCAGAAGCCUGUCCAGUAACACCAACUACUUGUAGACAGCAGCUUCAUAGGACUCACCUGCAGUUAAGCCCUUAAUUGGGUAAACAGAUGACAAUUGUUUUGCCCUGCAUUUCUAAGGGGGGAAAGGCGAAACUUUUGUGCCUCCACUGUCAUCUUUUGAGGUGUUUUCUUUGCCUGAUAAUCCAUUGAGGUAUUUCGUCGAUUUGAAAGUGAAGUUGUAGACAGAGGUUCACUUUUCAUUUGUUUUCCUUGGUUUUCAUAGUGUUUGAUAAAGUUACAUAAAACAAAGUGCUAGUAGACAAGCUAUACCAUGCACUAUAAUAUCUUAGAAUUCACACCUAAAUUUAACCAAGUUCUUGGUUGACAGAAUCAAGUCACUAGUACACCAGCUUUUGGAAUUCCUGAAGCAGAAAAAUUUUCCUAUCAAUAAAGAUACACAAUUACAGGUAAGGAGUCUACAGGAUGAGUAAUUAGGUAAUUGGUUUUCAGUGUUGUUAGGCAGCCAUGGAGAAGCAGAGCCACCCAUCCCUUUCCCUGGGCUUCAUCUUCACCCCCCCCCCCCCACCACCUGCUCCACACUCAGUUCUAGUUAUAACCAUUAACUAACAGUGUUGCUUAGAAAGGCUGGGCCUCUCAAGAUCCCAGGUCUUUUCUGUCAAGAAAUUCUAUGUUAAGCAGAUUGCCAGCGCAGAACCACACAUCUCUUGAGUUGGGUAUCCAUGUGAUCUUUGCUCUGCUGAGCCCUGCUUCCUUCAUAAGUACAUUGUAAACAAAGUAACUCCACACUGAUGGAGAUGAGAGUAGACAAAGGUGCAUGUCCUGACUCGUACUUUUUCUCCAUUUUUCCAGCUUUUUCUUAAAGUGACCUAGGUGUUUGAGAAGUGUGAUUUUUAGAAGAAAGCUUUAUAUAGUUGACCUAAAGAAACUGCAAUACCAUCUGCUAUGCAGCACCUGUGAAGUCAGUCAAGAGAAUGAAUACGUCCAUCACAUAGCAUGUUCUUGAGUCUCUCACAGAGAUGCCACAUCAUCCCCUUCCCCUGUAACAGGCACUUUUGUCUCUUGACAAGCUUAAGGAAGCCCCACAAUCCUUCUAGUGCUCCGGGUGGCCACCAUCUAACUAGAUAGUUUCCUCACUCUCCCAGCUGCAAAAGCUUCUCCUAAUCAUUCACCUAUCAGGAAAGUGCUUCCAGGUGAGUAAAUCUGGCACUGAAUGAAGAUCACAAGGUGAGAUAAUACAUUUCCCUCCACCUCCACAUCCAGGUAUAAGGUUUCAGCCCACAGGUUUUAUACAAAGUAUCUUCAGAUCAGACAGCUGCUUUCAAAGGGAAUGUAACCUAAGACCCCACUCCUUGGUAAGAGGGCUCAAAAGCCACAUGAUGCUUGAAGUUCACUUUAGCUCACCUCCUUCACUAAACACACCACACAAAGGAUCUUUGCUUCCCACAAAUAAGUCUAAUUCAAAAAUUAGACUUUUCCUCCCAUGGUUUUCACCCAAGCUGACCCAAACUUUAGUCUCUAAAGCAGGAUGGAGAGAAGCUAGUUUUUGUGUCUGCCAUUACGCUGGACAGGAGUUUCUCUCCAAUAGAGGUUUUAGGAUUCCAACCGAAGGCUAGAAAUAAAGGCAUUUAGAAACUUCUCAAAGAAAACAAGAUUACCAGGUUUACUCUAAGCAUAGGGGCUCUAAACUGACGUGUUUCUUUACUGCAGUACAUUAGCUGGGAGAGAGAUUUUGCUAAAGUAUCUUUUAUGCUAAAGGUUAAACAGUACUCAAAAAGCAGGUGACUUAAGAGAUUUGAUCAUGAGUCUCAAAAUUCACGAUCCCAUCUUAAGCUUCCCCAAGAUCUAACUUCCUUUAGAAACCCCAGUGAUAAGAAAAGCUUCUCCUCUGUCUCUAUUUCAAGCAAGAGAAGAGACGCCUGAUAAAACGACUCCAGGAAGUUGCCAUAACCUCCUAAGAGGUAUUUUCUGUCUGCACACAACUAGUUUCCAUUCUUUCAAGUUCCUCAAUCUUCUUAGAUUCCCUCGCCUACUUACUUCGUUCAUUCUUUCCCUUUUAAAGUAAGCUAGCCAAAAUUUCCCUUGAGAUCUACGAAAGGUUUGGUUCUUUCUACCCACCGCUCCUAGCCAGAUAACUUUUUAGCACGCAGCGUGCCUGUAAAACUUUGAACCACGUUCAGACCCCAACCCCAAGCCACACCCAGCAGCACCAGAGCAACCU